This 273-nucleotide ribosomal RNA is filed under the name uncultured bacterium. RNAcentral describes it as "partial 16S ribosomal RNA". It matches the Rfam family "Bacterial small subunit ribosomal RNA", at positions 524 to 796 of the family's 1533-position model. The record is from RNAcentral.
UACAGAGGGGGCAAGCGUUGUUCGGAAUUACUGGGCGUAAAGGGCGCGUAGGCGGCCUGCUAAGUCGAACGUGAAAUCCCCGGGCUCAACCCGGGAACUGCGUUCGAUACUGGUUGGCUUGAAUCCGGGAGAGGGAUGCGGAAUUCCAGGUGUAGCGGUGAAAUGCGUAGAUAUCUGGAGGAACACCGGUGGCGAAGGCGGCAUCCUGGACCGGCAUUGACGCUGAGGCGCGCAAGCCAGGGGAGCACACGGGCGGCGAUACCCCAGUAGUCC